CCUACGGGAGGCAGCAGUGAGGAAUAUUGGUCAAUGGACGAAAGUCUGAACCAGCCAAGUAGCGUGAAGGAUGACGGCCCUCUGGGUUGUAAACUUCUUUUAUAAAGGAAUAAAACGAGGCACGUGUGCCUUGUUGCAUGUACUUUAUGAAUAAGGGUCGGCUAAAUCCGUGCCAGCAGCCGCGGUAUUACGGAGGAUCCGAGCGUUAUCCGGAUUUAUUGGGUUUAAAGGGAGCGUAGAUGGGUUGUUAAGUCAGUUGUGAAAGUUUGCGGCUCAACCGUAAAAUUGCACUUGAUACUGGAAGCCUUGAGUACAGUCAGGGAUGGCGGAAUUCGUGGUGUAGCGGUGAAAUGCUUAGAUAUCAUGAAGAACCCCGAUUGCGAAGGCAGGUGUCUAAACUGCGACUGACAUUGAGGCUCGAAAGUGUGGGUAUCAAACAGGAUUAGAUACCCUUGUAGUC
This 460-nucleotide ribosomal RNA is filed under the name uncultured bacterium. RNAcentral's name for it is "partial 16S ribosomal RNA". It matches the Rfam family "Bacterial small subunit ribosomal RNA", at positions 338 to 795 of the family's 1533-position model. The record is from RNAcentral.